Long non-coding RNA from Choloepus didactylus (southern two-toed sloth), 4227 nucleotides. RefSeq lists it as uncharacterized. The record is from RefSeq and is a predicted model, not a curated record. Lineage: Eukaryota; Metazoa; Chordata; Mammalia; Pilosa; Megalonychidae. The transcript has 3 exons.
AGCCUCGAUGUGGCCGUCAGGCACGGCUCCUUGUGGGCUGUCUCACCCUACCCCGUCCGGAUGGUGAUAUUUGUGCUUCUGACUUCAGAUUAGUAGCUUGACCUUGACUCCUGAGUUCUGAGAUCCCUUCACACAACUGCAAGUCCUUCUCACACAGAGAUUGAGUUUACCUAGUCGGCACCUUUGAGAGUUUUGGAACAAGAAGAAGAACCAGGACUGUCCACGACGUUCAGACCUGUUCCGCGAGCAAGAAACAGAAACGCUACAUGCAGAAGGUUGAAUUUGGGAUUCAGACUCCGACAGCUCUGAUGAUGUGAUGGAGACCUAUGAACUGGAGGAUGAAAGCAAUGCAGAAGCCUGAGCUUACUUAUCUGCAGACAAAAUUCAAUUUUCUCUCUUUUCCUCCUAUUGCUGCUGCCAUGACCGCAAUUUUCAUCGGUGCAUUAUUGUCCUCACCUUGAGAUCAGAGAGAAAUAGAAACUAAUUGCCUAAUAACCACUUUUGCUAAUGUAAAAUUUAUAAAAUACCAUUAAGGUUCACUUUACUUAGUGUUUUAUUAUAGUGAACAAACCAAUUAUCUGGGCUUUCGAUACUCCGUUCCCUGUCCCUAUUUUUUCGAAAGGUCAUAAAUUUCUCCAACACAAAUUCCUCUACUAUGAGGGUGUCAGGUACUCAACUGUAGCACCUGGGGACGGGGGCUACUCCACCUGAUUUGACAAUUUGAUUUUGCACUCUGGAUCCUGAAAUUAAAAUUUAUUUCUGAUUAAGCCUAAACUGCUAUCUUACCAUAAGGACCCAAGUCCUUCCUUUUUACCUAGUUGGUGUAACGUGAUUUGUUUUGCAGCAAUUGUGUAAGUUAGCUAUUGACCAGUCCCAGAAAGCAGCACACCUCAUGCCUUAAUGGAUUCCUGAGAUUACUUUGGUACCUAAUCAAGGAGGGGAAGCUGCUAGAGGUCAUUUCUUUAGAUAUUCCCUGUUCUCAUAUCUGGCCUUCCUAGUGAUUUGAACAGUUGAAUAUCUUCCAGUAAAGAGAUGUUGAUACUUUCUAUUCCUUAAAGGUGGUGUCUUCAUUCCUGGAUUUGGUCUUCUAAAUUCCCUCCAUAAUUCCAUAUAUUUGUUUUAUUGGACUUAACUGUGUUAUAAACAUUCAUGUUUUUGUUGUUUUAAUUUUGGAUGUUUGAACUUUUCUAGGCAGAAUUAACAGAGGAAAAAUAUCCCAAAACCAGAGCUAUGAAGCUGAUAUCUCAUUCUAAGAAUUCUUGGCAAAGACAUGACAAAUCUGCUUGUUCUUUUGGCUACCUGGACACAUUCCCAUCUGAUGUCCUUUUUGAACUCAGUUGGACAGUUAUUCUGGGAGUAAGAGACAGGAAAUUUGAAUAGCAUUGGUUUUCAGUAGCAACUGUAUUUGUUAAUACAAUUCUGUAUUAACUGCUAUUUGUGCCUGCAUUGGAGCACUGGCACCAUAAUCAUGCUGAAAAUUAUGUGCAAAAAAACUGAAUAGAUAAAGGAAGAAAGAGAAUUCACUGGCAUGUAUUUCCAAAAAGAGACCUUCUAUAGCUUGAGAAAACAUACAGAUAACCUGGAAUGUUACCAUUUACAUAUGGUAAUGAGAAAAUGCUGUCUUUAAACCACACUGUGUCCAAAAAUGACGCCAGGGAAUAACUUGAAUUUUAUCUUGUAGGAAGCAUGUAGGAAGCCCAUUCGAAUUGGGAUGUAGAAGGUGGGGGUGUGUGCAUGGGAUUUGGGAAUUGUUCUCCCCAGGCUGGAGUUCUGGAAGAUAGACUGCCCAUAUCUGAGUUUGAAGUGAUCAGGGGAAGAGGGGGUGGGGGAGAAAAGGUUAAAAGGUCUUGCUUGCCUAGUUCCAGUUGAGAUUACAUAUAUUUCUCCACAAGUUCAAAAGAGGCAGAUGAGGGUUGAAAACUACGGUAGGGUGCUGUGGAUCUAGUGACAUGCCACAGUGCCAGGCAAGCUUUCACUCUUUUCUUUGGGCCACAGUGGUCCUCAACAUUGGUGGUACAUCCUAGUAAUUAUGGGGAGCUUUUUAAAACUCCUAAACCUGCUGAAUUGAGGAUGAGGGACCAGUUUCUGUAUAUUUUGGAAGCUCCUCAAGUGAUUCUUUUUACAGCUAGGAUUGCAAACCACUGCUCUAUGGUUAGAUAAUGCAAAUGAGAAUGGGUCCAGGAGCUAGGAAACCUUGAUUUCAAGUCUCUGCUCUCUCAUGCAUAAAAUGGAUGGUCCUGUUUAUCUGUCAAAAGAGAGGAUAAGACCAAUUGGUCUCUAAGGCCCUUCUAUCUUUGACACUGUUACCUUGGGACAAAGGUGCAGCAAUCUCAUUGGUUGGCUUUGAGAAUAUUUAACUCCUUUCAUAGAGACCAAAGGUAAGUAGUAUUAGUAUUGUGUUCUUGUUAUUUUAAAAAUCGUGCUUGUGGUUUAAGCUUUACUAUGUUUUAGUCCCUUGUGGAAAAGAAAGUUAGGCAUAGGUGCUGUACAAAAAAGGGGAAAUGUAGCAUCCACUUUCUGAAAGGAAAACUAGAAAGGAACUCCUGUGAGUGCCUUUUUCUCUGAUAACUGCGAUUUUUCUUCUGGGUUCCAGGGUUUGGGGAAAAUAAUAAUGCACAUGUAUUGGGUAUAAAACACAUUAACAUUUUGCAUCUUUUGUUUCUAUAAACCAAAGCAAGAACUCUGUAUGCUUAAUGUUUCAAGGGUCCAUAACAAUUUGCUUAUUCCUAAUAAUGCCAGAAACAAAAUAUCUUUAAUUCAGUAUUCUUUUUACCAGUGUUGUCAGUGGUUCUCUGUAUCUUUGAAGAAACGAACUUUCCUGAUCAUUUUACCAUUCACUGAGAUCCCUGCCUUAGCAAUUUUUGUUGUCAUACUUUGAUAAGAAUAAGAGAAAUAAAAAUUUUUAAUUGAUCGGACUUUAACUAGGAGCUCAUAAUAUAAAACAAUAAAAUGGGACACUGACUACUGUAUGAUUUUAGUUGUCAUAGGAAUGGUUAGACUUUGGGCUGAUAAGUGGAAACAUUUAUUUGUCUAGGGCCCAGGUCAUUUGAAAUAAAUUAUUGGAAGAGAUCUAAUUCUUGUUUAAGGCAAUAACCACUUAAAAUAAUCUAAGUGUCAUUAACGAGGGUAAAAGGACAUUUUAACAUAAUUUAGUUUAACAAGUCAGCACAGCUUAGAGGACGUUGUAAAAGUUUGGCAUAGCAUAAAUGGUAGAAAUUGAAUUUAACGAGAACACUGCCAUGUAAAUGGGUGCUUUUUAUGUUCUUUGAUAAGUUAAAAAUGGUCCCCCAAACUGAAAAGCUGAAAUUUCUUUUAGUAUAUUUUAUGUGUCGUUUGAGUGGAAGGUAUCUUUCUGUUGUCAAAUGGUUCGGGUAAAUUCUUAUGCUCAGUAUUAUGAAGUGCCUGGAAACUUCCUUCUUCAAAGGCAUAUUUAACUACUGUGUAAAAAGAAAACAAAGAGAAAAGGGUGGGGCGGGGAGAAAGGGCAGCCCAGGCUGCUGGAAUUUGGAGAAAAUAUUAGAAAACCGGCAUUACAUUGAAAAAGAAUUUCAUGUUUGUUUAAAAUCUUUUAAGUUCAAAAUGCAGAGAAGUCUCUUUAAACUUCACAUCAGGAUUACAUAGCUUUUGCCACCUGAAUGCUAAUAAAGGGUUUUUCAGUGUGUAGGGUCUAAAAGCUUGUGUGAACAAUGCUUGUGCUGUGAAAUGCAUUGAUCACUGAACAUUACAUAGUCUUACCUUUUAACAGCCUUUGAUGUCAGUGUGUUCUGGUUGUUUAUCUAAGAAUUCAGAAAUAAAUACGAUGUGCUGUGAAUGGAAUGCAUAUGUUCUUGGAGAUCAUAAAGUGAAAUAGAAGAGAGACAAAAGAAAGGAUACAUUUUGUUAGUCGGAAUAACAAAUAUUGAGAAAUUAAAUAUAAAUCUAGUGUGUUGGAGAGGUUGCACGUCAUCUUUCUUGCAUUGCUACAUAAAGCCAAAGAUAAAAUUCACCAAUCAUUGCAAACACCUAGAGUUGGCUCUUGAGGAAUGGCAGUGGGGCAAUAAGUGCCGGAAUGAGAACAGGGACUUAGAGUGAGGGCUUUGCCACCGACUUCUCAUCUGCCCUGGGCUGGGGAUUCCUUCUGUUUGGGUGAGUGGUGCUUUGUCCUGGCGGUAUGACCUUUGUGCUUACUGGGGUGUGAGGAAUCAGCCCCGAGCCCAGGCUUUGGAGGACCUGCUUUCAAAUCCUGUC